GUGGGGAGCAACAGGGGUUAGAUCCCUGGUAGUCCAGCCCGUAAGCGAUGUCUGCUUGGAGGUUGUGGCCUUGAGCCGUGGCUUUCGGAGCUAACGCGUUAAGUAGACCGCCUGGGGAGUACGGUCGCAAGAUUAAAACUCAAAUGAAUUGACGGGGGCCCGCACAAGCGGUGGAGCAUGUGGUUUAAUUCGAUGCAACGCGAAGAACCUUACCUACUCUUGACAUCUACAGAAGCCAGCGGAGACGCAGGUGUGCCUUCGGGAACUGUAAGACAGGUGCUGCAUGGCUGUCGUCAGCUCGUGUUGUGAAAUGUUGGGUUAAGUCCCGCAACGAGCGCAACCCUUAUCCUUGUUUGCCAGCACUUCGGGUGGGAACUCCAGGGAGACUGCCGGUGAUAAACCGGAGGAAGGUGGGGACGACGUCAAGUCAUCAUGGCCCUUACGAGUAGGGCUACACACGUGCUACAAUGGCGCAUACAGAGGGCGGCCAACUUGCGAAAGUGAGCGAAUCCCAAAAAGUGCGUCGUAGUCCGGAUUGGAGUCUGCAACUCGACUCCAUGAAGUCGGAAUCGCUAGUAAUCGUGGAUCAGAAUGCCACGGUGAAUACGUUCCCGGGCCUUGUACACACCGCCCGUCACACCAUGGGAGUGGGCUGCAAAAGAAGUGGGUAGUUUAACCUUCGGGAGGACGCUCACCACUUUGUGGUUCAUGACUGGGGUGAAGUAAUAGCAAGGUAACCG
Molecule: ribosomal RNA, 740 nt
Filed under: uncultured bacterium
Lineage: Bacteria
Description: bacterial SSU rRNA
Rfam family: Bacterial small subunit ribosomal RNA
Source: RNAcentral